UUCGGGGAUCAUUGGGCGUAAGAGCUCGUAGGUGGUUUGCUACGUCUGCUGUGAAAACCUAGGGCUUAACCCUGGGCCUGCAGUGGAUACGGGCAGACUAGAGGUAGGUAGGGGAGAAUGGAAUUCCCGGUGUAGCGGUGAAAUGCGCAGAUAUCGGGAGGAACACCGGUGGCGAAGGCGGUUCUCUGGGCCUUACCUGACACUGAGGAGCGAAAGCGUGGGGAGCGAACAGGAUUAGAUACCCUGGUAGUCCACGCCGUAAACGUUGGGCGCUAGGUGUGGGGUCCUUCCACGGACUCCGUGCCGCAGCUAACGCAUUAAGCGCCCCGCCUGGGGAGUACGGCCGCAAGGCUAAAACUCAAAGGAAUUGACGGGGGCCCGCACAAGCGGCGGAGCAUAUUGCUUAAUUCGAUGCAACGCGAAGAACCUUACCAAGGUUUGACAUGCAGGGAAAAGCCAUAGAGAUAUGGUGUCCGUAAGGGCCCUGCACAGGUGGUGCAUGGCUGUCGUCAGCUCGUGUCGUGAGAUGUUGGGUUAAGUCCCGCAACGAGCGCAACCCUCGUUCUAUGUUGCCAGCGGGUAAUGCCGGGAACUCAUAGGAGACUGCCGGGGUCAACUCGGAGGAAGGUGGGGAUGACGUCAAGUCCUCAUGCCCCUUAUAUCUUGGGCUGCAAACAUGCUACAAUGGCCGGUACAGAGGGCUGCGAGACCGCAAGGUGGAGCGAAUCUCAAAAAGCCGGUCUCAGUUCGGAUUGGGGUCUGCAACUCGACCCCAUGAAGUCGGAGUCGCUAGUAAUCGCGAAUCAGCAACGUCGCGGUGAAUACGUUCCCGGGCCUUGUACACACCGCCCGUCACGUCACGAAAGUUGGCAACACCCGAAGCCGGUGGCCUAACCCGCAAGGGAGGGAGCCGUCGAAGUGGGGCCAGCGAUUGGGACGAAGUCGUAACAAGGUAAC
Molecule: ribosomal RNA, 957 nt
Filed under: uncultured bacterium
Lineage: Bacteria
Description: bacterial SSU rRNA
Rfam family: Bacterial small subunit ribosomal RNA
Source: RNAcentral